GUGCAGCACAUAGACUAAAACUGGAACGAUAUUGAGAAGAUUAGCAUGGCCCCUGCACAAGGAUGAGACACAAAUUCGUGAAGCUUAAUGCAGCAUG
RNAcentral lists this small nuclear RNA (97 nucleotides) under Chrysemys picta bellii (western painted turtle). Lineage: Eukaryota; Metazoa; Chordata; Testudines; Emydidae. The record is from RNAcentral.